RNAcentral lists this ribosomal RNA (497 nucleotides) under uncultured bacterium. RNAcentral describes it as "partial 16S ribosomal RNA". It matches the Rfam family "Bacterial small subunit ribosomal RNA", at positions 28 to 507 of the family's 1533-position model. The record is from RNAcentral.
GAUGAACGCUGGCGGCGUGCCUAAUACAUGCAAGUCGAGCGAACAGACGAGGAGCUUGCUCCUCUGACGUUAGCGGCGGACGGGUGAGUAACACGUGGAUAACCUACCUAUAAGACUGGGAUAACUUCGGGAAACCGGAGCUAAUACCGGAUAAUAUAUUGAACCGCAUGGUUCAAUAGUGAAAGACGGUUUUGCUGUCACUUAUAGAUGGAUCCGCGCCGCAUUAGCUAGUUGGUAAGGUAACGGCUUACCAAGGCAACGAUGCGUAGCCGACCUGACAGGGGGAUCGGCCACACUGGAACUGAGACACGGUCCAGACUCCUACGGGAGGCAGCAGUAGGGAAUCUUCCGCAAUGGGCGAAAGCUUGACGGAGCAACGCCGCGUGAGUGAUGAAGGUCUUCUGAUCGUAAAACUCUGUUAUUAGGGAAGAACAAAUGUGUAAGUAACUAUGCACGUCUUGACGGUACCUAAUCAGAAAGCCACGGCUAACUACGUG